This 110-nucleotide microRNA precursor is filed under the name Gallus gallus (chicken). Its description in RNAcentral is "microRNA gga-mir-1464 precursor". Lineage: Eukaryota; Metazoa; Chordata; Aves; Galliformes; Phasianidae. The record is from miRBase by way of RNAcentral.
GGCGCAGCACCUGCGUGUGUGGCUGUGCUGUUUGCAGGGCCGCCUCGGAUCCGCCCAACGCCGGCUGCCCGCACACAGCACACACAGCACACAGCACACGCGUGCAGCGC